Molecule: ribosomal RNA, 259 nt
Filed under: uncultured Planctomycetota bacterium
Lineage: Bacteria; Pseudomonadati; Planctomycetota
Description: uncultured planctomycete partial 16S ribosomal RNA
Rfam family: Bacterial small subunit ribosomal RNA
Source: RNAcentral
AAGCGGUGGAGGAUGUGGCUUAAUUCGAGGCUACGCGAAGAACCUUAUCCUAGUCUUGACAUACCUCUCUAAGGUGGUGAAAGCCAUCGAGUGGAGCAAUCCACAAUUGGUACAGGUGCUGCAUGGCUGUCGUCAGCUCGUGUCGUGAGAUGUCGGGUUAAGUCCCUUAACGAGCGAAACCCUUGUCCUUAGUUGCCAGCGAGUCAUGUCGGGGACUCUAAGGAGACUGCCGGCGUUAAGCCGGAGGAAGGUGGGGAUG